This 468-nucleotide ribosomal RNA is filed under the name uncultured bacterium. RNAcentral describes it as "partial 16S ribosomal RNA". It matches the Rfam family "Bacterial small subunit ribosomal RNA", at positions 28 to 507 of the family's 1533-position model. The record is from RNAcentral.
GACGAACGCUGGCGGUGUGCUUAACACAUGCAAGUCGAACGGUAAGGCCCUUUCGGGGGUACACGAGUGGCGCACGGGUGAGUAACACGUGAGUAACCUGCCCUCAUCUCUGGGAUAACAGUCGGAAACGGUUGCUAAUACUGGAUAUGAGCUUGCAAGGCAUCUUGUGGGUUGGAAAGAUUUUUUUUGGUUGGGGAUGGACUCGCGGCCUAUCAGCUUGUUGGAGAGGUAGUGGCUCACCAAGGCUUCGACGGGUAGCCGGCCUGAGAGGGCGACCGGACACAUUGGGACUGAGAUACGGCCCAAACUCCUACGGGAGGGAGCAGUGGGGAAUAUUGCACAAUGGACGGAAGUCUGAUGCAGCAACGCCGCGUGCGGGAUGACGGCCUUCGGGUUGUAAACCGCCUUCAAGUGUGACGAAGCUUUUUUGUGACGGUAGCAGUAGAAGAAGCACCGGCUAACUACGUG